GAUGAACGCUGGCGGCGUGCCUAAUACAUGCAAGUCGAGCGAACAGACGAGGAGCUUGCUCCUCUGACGUUAGCGGCGGACGGGUGAGUAACACGUGGAUAACCUACCUAUAAGACUGGGAUAACUUCGGGAAACCGGAGCUAAUACCGGAUAAUAUAUUGAACCGCAUGGUUCAAUAGUGAAAGACGGUUUUGCUGUCACUUAUAGAUGGAUCCGCGCCGCAUUAGCUAGUUGGUAAGGUACGGCUUACCAAGGCAACGAUGCGUAGCCGACCUGAGAGGGUGAUCGGCCACACUGGAACUGAGACACGGUCCAGACUCCUACGGGAGGCAGCAGUAGGGAAUCUUCCGCAAUGGGCGAAAGCUUGACGGAGCAACGCCGCGUGAGUGAUGAAGGUCUUCGGAUCGUAAAACUCUGUUAUUAGGGAAGAACAAAUGUGUAAGUAACUAUGCACGUCUUGACGGUACCUAAUCAGAAAGCCACGGCUAACUACGUG
This 496-nucleotide ribosomal RNA is filed under the name uncultured bacterium. RNAcentral describes it as "partial 16S ribosomal RNA". It matches the Rfam family "Bacterial small subunit ribosomal RNA", at positions 28 to 507 of the family's 1533-position model. The record is from RNAcentral.